RNAcentral lists this ribosomal RNA (393 nucleotides) under uncultured prokaryote. Its description in RNAcentral is "partial 16S ribosomal RNA". The record is from RNAcentral.
CCCUAUGGGGUGCCGCAGGCGGAGGACAACGCAGGGGUGUCGGGCUGGCGCAUAGAACCCGAGGAUAUCCAGCAAGUAGAUGCAAUUUUAGGGAAAUUCAUAAAAACACCGGUAGGCCCCGAAUUUAUGGCGCCUGGCCUCAGCUGACCUCCCCCAUGGGUCGGAAUAUAAACUCCGAGCUUCCCAUGAGCCGAAGUAUAUGGUAUUAAGCAGCGCAAAAAGUAACAACUUCCAUACAGGGGAAGGAGUUUAGCGUUUUGAAGGACCCAUGCUUAACGGAAGUGCUGGAGUCAGCAUCGUCUUACCGUCCUCGUCAAUCCGCGGCUAUAUGGCAGGCGCCCAUUGACGGCUGGAGGGAGAAGCUGGCGGAGACAUUGGAGCAGGCGGGGGGGC